Molecule: ribosomal RNA, 224 nt
Filed under: uncultured bacterium
Lineage: Bacteria
Description: partial 16S ribosomal RNA
Rfam family: Bacterial small subunit ribosomal RNA
Source: RNAcentral
UACGUAGGGGGCUAGCGUUGUCCGGAAUCAUUGGGCGUAAAGCGCGUGUAGGCGGUCCGGUAAGUCCGCUGUGAAAGUCGGGGGCUCAACCCUCGGAUGCCGGUGGAUACUGUCGGGCUUGAGUACGGAAGAGGCGACUGGAAUUCCUGGUGUAGCGGUGAAAUGCGCAGAUAUCAGGAAGAACACCCGUGGCGAAGGCGGUUCUCUGGGACGGUACUGACGCU